CUGAAAUUGAAAUGGUUCACAGAUCAAGAUCUGGUCAGAUCUGACUUUGUCGAAUUAAACCAGGAUCUUGGAGAUGAAUUUUUGAAUGAAACCAACUGGAUGCGAACAAUUCCGGAGAAGAAGAAGAAGUGGAAUCGGAUCGGAAGAUUAUUUAUAUUGUUGGAAUUCUUAUAUUGAUGGAGUUGAAGAAGUCCAGGGACAAAUAAGCCAAGGCAAGCCAUCUUUUGAUCUCUGAUUCGGUGUCUAGUUGGAUGUCAUUUGUUGAUGUCCAAAGCACCUUAACUCUGUGUGUUAUUCUCUCUAUUUAUGUCA
Lolium perenne is the source of this 312-nucleotide non-coding RNA. Lineage: Eukaryota; Viridiplantae; Streptophyta; Magnoliopsida; Poales; Poaceae. The record is from RefSeq and is a predicted model, not a curated record.